Molecule: small nuclear RNA, 64 nt
Filed under: Mus spretus (western wild mouse)
Lineage: Eukaryota; Metazoa; Chordata; Mammalia; Rodentia; Muridae
Description: predicted gene, 54782 (ENSMSPG00010050205.1)
Rfam family: U7 small nuclear RNA
About the family: Animal histone pre-mRNAs are spliced by a different mechanism than nuclear pre-mRNAs and self-splicing introns. This processing involves the U7 snRNP, which contains only one RNA species: U7.
Source: RNAcentral
AGCUGUUACAGCUCUUAUAAAAUUUUCCUAACAAGGUUUCUCUGCCCUUGGUUGGAAAACCCAA